RNAcentral lists this ribosomal RNA (1095 nucleotides) under Triticum aestivum (bread wheat). RNAcentral describes it as "partial small subunit ribosomal RNA". Lineage: Eukaryota; Viridiplantae; Streptophyta; Magnoliopsida; Poales; Poaceae. The record is from RNAcentral.
AUGGCGUCCUCCGGUGCUCAUGAGCGUCGUCCACGCAGCCGAGAGGACUGGGCGAACCUGGACGCCGGACCGGUGGGGCUUGUCGCCGAGCACCUACUGCGCAACGACGUCGUCGACCUCGUCCGCCUCCGCGCUGUGUGCAGGUCGUGGCGCGCGAGCUCCGCCCACCUGCGCGCGCAGGGCGUCCUGGACCGGCGGUUCCACCCCCGGCGGUGGAUAAUGCUCCCAAAAGAAUUCGACAUCCGCGGCCGGCGACGCUUCCUCAAUGUCUUCACCGGCAAGUCCAUCUACCAGGAGCUCCCGUAUGCAGAUCUCCUCAGCGAGUAUGUUCUCACGACCACAUCUGAGGGUCUCAUUCUUCAACUAGGCACCUGCGCCGGCCAGCUCCUUAACCCGCUGACCGGACAUGUCGCCGGGCUUCCAAGUGCGGCCACGCUGCUCUUCGGGCAGACCCUAACUAAUCUUGAGGUGAGCGGUGUGGGCCUUGCCAACGAUGACACGGUUGUGCUUCAUUUUCGCUCAUUCUACGUAGCUGUAGCUAAGCUCGGCGACGAACGCUGGACGCACGUCCAUUCCCACGACAGGAUCAUAUCAGUCUUGCCGUUCGCAGGCCGCGUCUACUGUGCCACGUCAAAGAACAUCUCGUCGGUUCAAACUAGCUCAAACCGCGACACCGAACCAACCGCCGUGGCUUGUGGUGGCCGCCGACCAUGGACUACACACGGGGUUCUAGUCGCUCGAGGAAUUCGAAUACCAAUUGUUCAUGGGGGUUGUACGCCCCAAAUCGUCAGAGAUUGCAAUGUCAGCAUGUAUCGGGUGAACUGGAACGCAAAGAACACGGUGCCCCAACAUGGCCUCGAUGGAAAAGUCUUGUUUCUCGGCAAGAAGAUACUCCUGGUGGCUCCUGGAGUGUCCCCCUCCAUCAAUGCUGACUCCAAAUACCUGUGUUGGUCAAAGCCCAAGUGCAAUUAUGAUGCUACUGAUUAUGCCGUUGAUGUUCUUUUGGGUGGAGGCGCCGAGGCCAAGUUUAAGAAAGAUGAUGCUGCAUAUUAUUUAUCAUGCUAUGUCUCUCAUUCUUAUAGUGAGCAUGUCUAG